This is a long non-coding RNA of Mugil cephalus (flathead mullet), 951 nucleotides long. RefSeq lists it as uncharacterized. The record is from RefSeq and is a predicted model, not a curated record. The transcript is spliced from 4 exons. NCBI's taxonomy places the organism in Eukaryota, Metazoa, Chordata, Actinopteri, Mugiliformes, Mugilidae.
GGAUUUUUUUCCUGCUACGUAUUUAUCAUUAAUAAUUAUUUAUAUUUGUUUUAACAAUAUAUAUAUAGGCUAUGUUUAUAAUUUGGGCUUAAUUUCGAGGAAAUUUAUUUUUAUUUUAUCAAUAAAAUAUAAGGCGUUAUCCAUAACGUCGGCUUGUCACGUGACGUCUUGAUAAGCCGUUACGUAAUGUUACGUCGACCGUUAGUUUUAAAAAAACAAACAAACAAAAAAAACUUCGAGCUAAAAUGCUAAACGCGGCUAAAAACACCGGAGUUUUAACAGCUAAUUAAAGACAAAGGGACGAGGAGCAAGUGGAUGUUAACUGGAAUCAAGCUCCCAGGCUGCCCCGGUCCGCUGGCCUAGCACUGCUGCCUCCUCCCGACAGAGUCCGGACUGAUCCUCAAGGGGGCUGGGAAGCUUCCAGCUGUGGAGCUUGCCUGGGGGGGCGAAAACCUCUUGUGAGACAACCAUGGAGGUGUUGAUCCACGUUGGGGCCAUGUGGCACUGAUAUGAACAACAGCAGCUCGAAGGCAAUCUGUACUGAGAAGCAUCCAGUCCAUUACACACAUAUGAGGCCCAUCACUCCUGCAGUAUUGACAAAUUCAUCAGGCAUUUUUCCCUGUGCUCCCUGAGCAGAAUUUAGAUUUGCCUGCCAUUCCCAACCCAGAACGGCCUUGUUAGAAUACAAACAUGACUUCUCCGCUCUUCAGCUUGUUGGGAGCUCUCACAGUGAUGAGCCAUUACCUGUCAGCGAAUAGAGCGCGGCCUCGAGUUUACGCUGAUUUGUCAAGAACAACACAGUUCCCACCAGAAAUGCAUUUGGCAUGAUUUGAGGUUUAAAAAGACGAGGCUGGUAUUAUAUUGUGCACUGACAUUGGGACCCUUUAAGUAGACUAUGUAGUUGCACAGGAAGUAUUGCAAUUCUGUUCAAUUCUGUUCAGUUCUGAUUGG